Molecule: ribosomal RNA, 118 nt
Filed under: Deinococcus peraridilitoris DSM 19664
Lineage: Bacteria; Thermotogati; Deinococcota; Deinococci; Deinococcales; Deinococcaceae
Source: RNAcentral
CCCCGUGCUCACAGCGCUGUGGAACCACCUGAUCCCACUGAAGAACUCAGUCGUGAAACGCAGCCGCGCCAAUGGUACUUGGACCGCAGGGUCCUGGGAGAGUAGGUCAGCGCGGGGG